AGUGAACGCUGGCGGUAGGCCUAACACAUGCAAGUCGAACGGCAGCACAGUAAGAGCUUGCUCUUACGGGUGGCGAGUGGCGGACGGGUGAGGAAUACAUCGGAAUCUACUUUUUCGUGGGGGAUAACGUAGGGAAACUUACGCUAAUACCGCAUACGACCUACGGGUGAAAGCAGGGGAUCUUCGGACCUUGCGCGAUUGAAGAGCCGAUGUCGGAUUAGCUAGUUGGCGGGGUAAAGGCCCACCAAGGCGACGAUCCGUAGCUGGUCUGAGAGGAUGAUCAGCCACACUGGAACUGAGACACGGUCCAGACUCCUACGGGAGGCAGCAGUGGGGAAUAUUGGACAAUGGGCGCAAGCCUGAUCCAGCCAUACCGCGUGGGUGAAGAAGGCCUUCGGGUUGUAAAGCCCUUUUGUUGGGAAAGAAAAGCAGCAGGUUAAUACCCCGCUGUUCUGACGGUACCCAAAGAAUAAGCACCGGCUAACUUCGUG
RNAcentral lists this ribosomal RNA (491 nucleotides) under uncultured bacterium. RNAcentral's name for it is "partial 16S ribosomal RNA". It matches the Rfam family "Bacterial small subunit ribosomal RNA", at positions 29 to 507 of the family's 1533-position model. The record is from RNAcentral.